UUUCUGGCUCGUAGACUGUAUAGAGUCAAACCUUACUCGAUUCGAGAUUUUAAACCGGUGAUUUGAGACACCAUAAAUUAUCCCAAGUGGCGACUCUAAAAUCUUUAAACAAAUAAAUCCUGUUUGGAUUGUCCCUUAAUCGGAAAAACUCCCUUAUUUAUGCCCUUCGCUGAGGUUGUAGUGUUAAAAAGGAGGUGUGGCAGCUCUGGCGACUCUGC
This 218-nucleotide long non-coding RNA is filed under the name Nicotiana benthamiana. RNAcentral's name for it is "long non-coding RNA (NBEN_LNC023013)". The record is from RNAcentral. Lineage: Eukaryota; Viridiplantae; Streptophyta; Magnoliopsida; Solanales; Solanaceae.